GACCCAGACUCCUACGGGAGGCAGCAGUGAGGAAUAUUGGUCAAUGGGCGGGAGCCUGAACCAGCCAAGUCGCGUGAGGGAUGACGGCCCUAUGGGUUGUAAACCUCUUUUGCCGGGGAGCAAAGUGCCGCACGUGUGCGGUUUGGAGAGUACCCGGAGAAAAAGCAUCGGCUAACUCCGUGCCAGCAGCCGCGGUAAUACGUAGGGGGCAAGCGUUAUCCGGAAUCACUGGGUGUAAAGGGAGCGUAGACGGCUGUGCAAGCCUGAAGUGAAAGGCGGGGGCCCAACCCCUGGACUGCUUUGGGAACUGUACGGCUGGAGUGCAGGAGAGGUAAGUGGAAUUCCUAGUGUAGCGGUGAAAUGCGUAGAUAUUAGGAGGAACACCAGUGGCGAAGGCGGCUUACUGGACUGUAACUGACGUUGAGGCUCGAAAGCGUGGGGAGCAAACAGGAUUAGAUACCCUCGUAU
This 468-nucleotide ribosomal RNA is filed under the name uncultured bacterium. RNAcentral's name for it is "bacterial SSU rRNA". It matches the Rfam family "Bacterial small subunit ribosomal RNA", at positions 328 to 793 of the family's 1533-position model. The record is from RNAcentral.